This 376-nucleotide ribosomal RNA is filed under the name Shouchella clausii. Its description in RNAcentral is "bacterial SSU rRNA". It matches the Rfam family "Bacterial small subunit ribosomal RNA", at positions 382 to 747 of the family's 1533-position model. Lineage: Bacteria; Bacillati; Bacillota; Bacilli; Caryophanales; Bacillaceae. The record is from RNAcentral.
UCUGACGGAGCAACGCCGCGUGAGUGAGGAAGGCCUUCGGGUCGUAAAGCUCUGUUGUGAGGGAAGAAGCGGUACCGUUCGAAUAGGGCGGUACCUUGACGGUACCUCACCAGAAAGCCACGGCUAACUACGUGCCAGCAGCCGCGGUAAUACGUAGGUGGCAAGCGUUGUCCGGAAUUAUUGGGCGUAAAGCGCGCGCAGGCGGCUUCUUAAGUCUGAUGUGAAAUCUCGGGGCUCAACCCCGAGCGGCCAUUGGAAACUGGGGAGCUUGAGUGCAGAAAAGGAGANUGGAAUUCCACGUGUANCGGUGAAAUGCGUAAAGAUGUGGAGGAACACCANGUGGCGAAGGCUACUCUCUGGGUCUGUANCUGACGCU